Molecule: ribosomal RNA, 253 nt
Filed under: uncultured bacterium
Lineage: Bacteria
Description: partial 16S ribosomal RNA
Rfam family: Bacterial small subunit ribosomal RNA
Source: RNAcentral
UACGUAGGUGACAAGCGUUGUCCGGAUUUACUGGGUGUAAAGGGCGCGUAGGCGGGAUAGCAAGUCAGUCGUGAAAUGCCAAGGCUUAACCUCGGAGCUGCGAUUGAAACUGUUAUUCUUGAGUAUCGGAGAGGAAAGCGGAAUUCCUAGUGUAGCGGUGAAAUGCGUAGAUAUUAGGAGGAACACCAGUGGCGAAGGCGGCUUUCUGGACGACAACUGACGCUGAGGCGCGAAAGUGUGGGGAGCAAACAGG